UACACUCCUACGGGAGGCAGCAGUGGGGAAUAUUGGACAAUGGGCGCAAGCCUGAUCCAGCCAUGCCGCGUGAGUGAUGAAGGCCCUAGGGUUGUAAAGCUCUUUCACCGGUGAAGAUAAUGACGGUAACCGGAGAAGAAGCCCCGGCUAACUUCGUGCCAGCAGCCGCGGUAAUACGAAGGGGGCUAGCGUUGUUCGGAUUCACUGGGCGUAAAGCGCACGUAGGCGGACUAUUAAGUCAGGGGUGAAAUCCCGGGGCUCAACCCCGGAACUGCCUUUGAUACUGGUAGUCUUGAGUUCGAGAGAGGUGAGUGGAAUUCCGAGUGUAGAGGUGAAAUUCGUAGAUAUUCGGAGGAACACCAGUGGCGAAGGCGGCUCACUGGCUCGAUACUGACGCUGAGGUGCGAAAGCGUGGGGAGCAAACAGGAUUAGAAACCCCUGUAGUCCC
RNAcentral lists this ribosomal RNA (448 nucleotides) under uncultured organism. Its description in RNAcentral is "partial 16S ribosomal RNA". It matches the Rfam family "Bacterial small subunit ribosomal RNA", at positions 332 to 797 of the family's 1533-position model. The record is from RNAcentral.